Molecule: unclassified non-coding RNA, 1180 nt
Filed under: Hevea brasiliensis (rubber tree)
Lineage: Eukaryota; Viridiplantae; Streptophyta; Magnoliopsida; Malpighiales; Euphorbiaceae
Source: RNAcentral
CUUUCAUCAGAAUAUUCAAACAAAACAAAACUAGAAAGCUAAUACAUAUAUUUUACGUCUCCCUUCAUACUUUAUGAGGGUUUUCUUCUUUUUUGGGUGGGGGUGUUUAGCGGGGUUCAAAUCAGCCCAAUUUGGACAUAUUUCUCCCUCUAUGCUCAAACUAUUUUCAUCUGAAACUAUUGGUUUAGCCUAACUGAUGUCUUGAUGAUAUAAAACGAUACAUAAAUUAGAAAACUAAGUAAAAUUCUCUUCCUCACAAUUCAUCCUUCACAUCAUUGGUGCUGCUCUCCUGACUUCCUUUGGUAUCAGAACUCUCGGGUUUUGGAGUCGAAGCUGGCUUUUGAAGCUUGAAGGGGAUGGAUGCAUGUUUCUUGAUGAACUUGUAUAACGCUACCACAGUGCGAUCAGUAUCUACAGUAAGCGGAUCAAAGCUCUUGUUUCCAGCAGGGAAAAAGAGAAUGGUGGGGAAUCCAUCAGCCUUUGCCCUGGGAUGCUCAUUCGUUGUUCCAUCCAUCUUGGCUAUAACAAGAGAUUCAAUGCCCCGCAAAUGUUUGCCAAGCUUGUUGUAUGUUGGCUCUAGUGCUUGACAAUGUCCACACCAUGGUGCAUAGAUCUCAAGGAGAACAUCUUUUGACUCAUCCAGCACAAUUUCAUCAAAGUUAUUCCCAACUACUAUUUUGACAUCACCAUCAUUAUUUUCAGGAACAGGAUCUGACUUGAAGAAAGGUUUAAGCUUGUCUUCAAGAAAUUCCUCUCCAAAAGUCUUUAUCUUAUCCAAGCUAACUUCCCCAUUGAGUACAAAUUUCUUACCAUCAUCAUUUCCUGUGUAAGCAAGAACUGUGGGAGCAUUUCCGGAGACACCAAAAUAAUCUGCAACAGGCUUCCCAACUUCUUCAUUGUCCAAUUCAACAUAUACAAAGAUAAGCUUUCCCUUGAACAAUUUAGCUGCUUCUUGAAAUAUGGGGAAAAUUUUCUCUGAAUCAUUUGAAGUUGCAAAUAACAACAGCUGUUUCUUAAUUGGACUCUCAAAAAUUGAAGGGGCAGUUUCUCUAGUAAAAGGGGUCACCAAAGGAAGCUUGUUAGCAAACACAAACUCAACUAUUUCCGACUUGGAAAAGUUGCCAUCAAAGUAACUCAGUUUCUCAGCCUCCUUCUUAAUCAGGACUAAAGCAGGGCGUUU